AUUAACGCUAGCGGCAGGCAUAAUACAUGCAAGUUGAACGGCAGCACAGGUAGCAAUACCGGGUGGCGAGUGGCGCACGGGUGCGUAACACGUAUGCAACCUACCCUAUACAGGCGAAUAACCUUAGAAAUGAGGGCUAAUACGCCGUGGUAUUAUCUUGGGGCAUCUUGAGAUAAUUAAAGAUUUAUCGGUAUAGGAUGGGCAUGCGUCCCAUUAGUUAGUUGGUAGGGUAACGGCCUACCAAGGCUAUGAUGGGUAGGGG
This 262-nucleotide ribosomal RNA is filed under the name uncultured bacterium. Its description in RNAcentral is "partial 16S ribosomal RNA". It matches the Rfam family "Bacterial small subunit ribosomal RNA", at positions 29 to 289 of the family's 1533-position model. The record is from RNAcentral.